Molecule: ribosomal RNA, 483 nt
Filed under: uncultured bacterium
Lineage: Bacteria
Description: bacterial SSU rRNA
Rfam family: Bacterial small subunit ribosomal RNA
Source: RNAcentral
AUUGAACGCUGGCGGCAUGCCUUACACAUGCAAGUCGAACGGCAGCACGGGAGCAAUCCUGGUGGCGAGUGGCGAACGGGUGAGUAAUAUAUCGGAACGUGCCCAGUCGGUGGGGGAUAACGUAGCGAAAGCUACGCUAAUACCGCAUACGAUCUAUGGAUGAAAGCGGGGGAUCGCAAGACCUCGCGCGAUUGGAGCGGCCGAUAUCAGAUUAGGCAGUUGGUGAGGUAAAGGCUCACCAAGCCGACGAUCUGUAGCUGGUCUGAGAGGACGACCAGCCACACUGGGACUGAGACACGGCCCAGACUCCUACGGGAGGCAGCAGUGGGAAUUUGGACAAUGGGCGCAAGCCUGAUCCAGCAAUGCCGCGUGCAGGAUGAAGGCCUUCGGGUUGUAAACUGCUUUUGUACGGAACGAAACGGUGAGCUCUAAUACAGUUUGCUAAUGACGGUACCGUAAGAAUAAGCACCGGCUAACUACGUG